RNAcentral lists this microRNA precursor (93 nucleotides) under Capsella rubella. Its description in RNAcentral is "MIR173 microRNA precursor family". It matches the Rfam family "MIR173 microRNA precursor family". The record is from Rfam by way of RNAcentral. Lineage: Eukaryota; Viridiplantae; Streptophyta; Magnoliopsida; Brassicales; Brassicaceae.
UAAGCACCUUCGCUUGCAGAGAGAAAUCACAGUGUGGUCAAAAGCUUCAAAGUCUCUUUCCUCUGUGAUUCUCUGUGCUAGCGGAAGAGCUUG